Molecule: ribosomal RNA, 254 nt
Filed under: uncultured bacterium
Lineage: Bacteria
Description: partial 16S ribosomal RNA
Rfam family: Bacterial small subunit ribosomal RNA
Source: RNAcentral
UACGAAGGGGGCUAGCGUUGCUCGGAAUUACUGGGCGUAAAGCGCACGUAGGCGGCUUUGUAAGUUAGAGGUGAAAGCCCGGGGCUCAACCCCGGAAUAGCCUUUAAGACUGCAUCGCUUGAACACGGGGGAGGUGAGUGGAAUUCCGAGUGUAGAGGUGAAAUUCGUAGAUAUUCGGAAGGAACACCUGUGGCGAAAGCGGCUCACUGGACCAUUACUGACGCUGAGGCACGAAAGCUAGGGGAGCAAACAGG